This 2961-nucleotide long non-coding RNA is filed under the name Homo sapiens (human). Its description in RNAcentral is "endogenous retrovirus group K13 member 1". Lineage: Eukaryota; Metazoa; Chordata; Mammalia; Primates; Hominidae. The record is from RNAcentral.
CGGCGGGAGCGGAGCACGGGGUGAUCUGGGCACUAACGCUGAUGGGGAGCAGCGGACAUCAGCCUCGACCUCCCACGAGCGGUGCACGAGCGCCUGACCCAGACCUCGACCCUAGCCUUCACCCCCACCCUGACUCCAGUUCAUGAACUGGUCAAAGGAAGAGCCAUGCCAGCAAACGUCUACACUGUACAUGCUUUUUAUUACAAGACUACGGAGCAUAGGAGGAAAAUUCAUCAUCUGUUCUACAGUCUGGGGACGACGGUUUAAAAAUUUAUGCCUUGCAUGCGAUGUGCAGUGGGUGAUGGAAGAACGUCUACAUGGCUUUAAAAUUGGAUUUAAAAGGCAAAUAUUUUAAAUGAAGGAAAACCCAAGAAGUUUACUUGAUUCCUUAUCUUCCAGGAUGCGACUUUUGUUUAUUUAUUUAUUUUAUUUUGAUGGAGUCUCGCUGCCGUCGCGCAGGCUGGAGUGCAGUGACGCGAUCUUGACCCGGGAACCUCCACCUCCCGGGUUCAAGCGAUUCUCCUUCCUCAACCACCCGAGUAGCUGGGAUUACAGGCGUGUGCCACCAUGCCCGGCUAAUUUUUGUGUUUUUAGUAGAGACCGGGGAAGGUAUGGGCCCUCUUUUGAGAAAAAUGCAGAGUGACACUGAAUUUUGUAACUACAUCAGGAGGCUCUUGAACCUUCUGCAGCUCACUCGUGGAGUUUGUAGAGAUGCGUAAUAAUCCGAAGUGUUAAGGAAGAAGGUUCUGUUGAGAAAAAGUUGGAGGGCUGAAAGGGAUGCCUUUCGCUAUUUCGACAUGUGUGGCUGUACCCCAGAGUGCCCUGGCUAACACGCAAAACCAUGAAUUAGGCGGCUUGGCGAGGCUCAGUGGAGGCUGGGGCCGAGAGUCAUGUCAAAGUUUGUGGGGUUAACCUGCACCCAGUGACAGUCAUGGCGAAGUUUGUGAGGUUAACUCGCACCCAGUAACGCUGUUCCAAUGCAAGGUGUGUAUUUGGUGUCAUCCACGGGAAGAGGAAACAGCAAAUUUUCUCAUGGCCUUGGCAGUUCCACAUGAUGGACAUUUCAUAUCUGCAGUUUUCUUCGCAUGAGAUGGCUUUUUUGCACAAAAACACUGGAAUCCAGUGAGCAAGAAUGAUAGAAUGCAAGAUGGAUUUCCACAUGAGGAAGUGUCACGAACAAGCGUUUUGCAUCUCUGUCAGCUGGAUUCCCCCAUGUGUACGUAUGUGAGAACAUGCCGUGUUUCCUGUCUGUAAUGGUAGAGGCAGCCCUGAUACUGGAUUUUCACCUGAGGAUGGAUAGAUCUUCAGGGUUCAAGUGGGUUUGCAUCUGGACUUUAGGGUGGCCCUGUAGGCCCUGUGUGAGAAGCCCCCUUCCCAGUGAACUUUCCCUUGUGUGCCCGCGUGGACAGCCAACAGGGGGAGCAGUGCGAGCGUGAAGGCAGACAGUGGCCUGGCCCAGUCUGAUGGGAGAGACCCACCGACCCUGUGGGGCUGGUCCCUACAUCUGGCGCUCUGACGUGGGGCUCUCCCUCGCUGUGUGAAGUUGCACCCUGAGUGCGGGAUCAGCGGAGGAGUUCAACGAGAGAUUCCUGAGGAUUGCAGUCUAUAAACUUGGUGGAAAAGAACUACAGCCUGUGUGGGUCCCCUCCCGACAAUUAAAAUUGCACCAUAACUCCAAAGAUGAAACGCUCCCAGAAAGAAAAGGCAAAGACCCAUCGGAAACAAAAGAGCAACUUUCACCGCCUGAUACAUACACUUCAUGACAUCCACAUUGAGACAAAAUCUCGCCGUGUGACCUACAACACCUCUCGUUCAACCCCACCUACUUGGGGUCGAAUACAGAUUUUAUCUCAUCAAACAGAAAAAUUCUUAACAGAAAAAGGAAUCCCAAAAAUGACUGGUAAUAUAAUUCUGGCUGCCUUUAUGGUAGUCAGUGCAGCGUCUGCAGAUGCCUCUAAGGAGUCCGAAACCAAGUCCGAAGUCAACAACAAGCAAUGAUGGCGAUGGCGAUUCUAGUUAAUAAAAAGGGGGGAGAUGUGGGCGGCAAGCCACCCAGGCACCGAGGCAAGAGACAGAGGACACGAGCUGUUCCAGUAUAAUAAAAUAUAAAACAAGAAUAGUUAUACCAGAUAUAGAUCUUAGAUAUGAUUAUAUACGAAUAUCAUUAAUCAUGAGUUUGUAGCAAUUACUUUUUAUUCCAAUAUUAUGAUAAUCCUCGCUCUAUAAUCAUAGCCUAGGAAAAACCAGGCCAUACAGAGAUAGGAGCUGAGGGGACAUAGUGAAGUGUGACCAGAAGACAAGAGUGCGAGCCUUCUGUUAUGCCCGGACAGGGCCACCAGAGGGCUCCUUGGUCUAGCGGUGACGCCAGCGUCUGGGAAGACACCCGUUACCAGGCGGAUCGUGGCCCAGCCGUAGCAAAAGGUGUCAAGGAACACCUUUUGCAAAAGGUGUCAACACCCGCUACUUAGCAGACUGGGAAAGGGGGGCGGUCUCCCUUUCCCCGGGGGAGUUUAGAGAAGACUCUGUUCCUCCACCUCUUGUGGAGGGCCUGACAUCAGUCAGGCUUGCCCGUAGUUAUCCGGAGGCCUAACUGUCUCCCUGUGAUGCUGUGCUUCAGUGGUCACGCUCCUAGUCUGCCUUCAUUUUCCAUCCUGUACACCUGGCUCUGCCUUCUAGAUAGCAGUAGUAAAUUAGUGAAAAUACUAAUAGUCCCUGAUAUGCAGAAAUAAUGGCAUAAGCUGUCUUUCUCUCUGUCUCCUCUCCCUCUCUGCCUCGGCUGCCAGGCAGGGAAGGGCCCCCUGUCCAGUGGACACAUGACCCAUGUGACCUUACCUAUCAUUGGAGGUGACUCACAUUCUUUACCCUGCCCCUUCUGCCUUGUAUCCAAUAACAGCGCAGUCAGACAUUCAGGGCCACUACCGGUCUCCGCACAUUGGUGGUAGUGGUCCCCCGGGCCCAGCU